UGCCCGCCUCGGCCUCCCAAAGUGCUGGGAUUACAGGCGUGAGCCACUGCACCUGGCUAGAUAUGUCUUUAAUCCAUUUUGAUUUGAGUUUUGCAUAUCGUGAGAGAUAAGGGUCUAGUUUCGUUCUUCUACAUAAGCAGUCACAGGAAACUAGUGCAUUGAAGAUAUACAGAAGCUGUCGAAGUGGAUACGGUGAAUUGUGGGAAAAUAUUUCUUGUGAGAGCUGUUGCUGUGCACUGUGAGUACUCAGCAGGCAAGGAUAAAGGAUGCUACCUCUUUCGCUGCAAGUCUGGUAUGGUGAUGCCCACAGGAUGAGUACAAACCCUCAUAGGUGCCUGCACUCUGCUGGAAAACUCAGCAUGCACAGGGUGAGCACCCAAUCUUGACAUUUCUUGCAACCAGCCCAGGCCCCUACUAAGCCCAUCUGGCAGCAGUGUCUGGGUCAGGGGUACAGGUUUGGCAGCCAAGAAACCAUCCUGGGAGAGUCAGAGAAGUGGCAGGAGAUCCAGCUGCAUUUGAGCUAAGUCCCUUAAGCCUCCUGUAAGUGCUCAAUUUCCCCAAAAUGCAAAGUUCAAACAAAUUGAACAAAACACAAGUGCAAACAUAGCAUUAUUAAGAAUUUUAAGACAGCAAAUGGAGAGCACUAAGCACCAAGUAUGAGGGCACUUUCUGAGUAUGGGAGCCUGUGCUAUUGCACUGGAUGUAGGUCCAUGGAGCUGGUCCUGUUAUUCAUGGACAGCAAACCGCAAGGGCAAUGGGACCCUGAACCUAGAGGGGAACCCUAGUUUCCCUGGUACUGUGAAAGAGUCACAAUAUUCCACAGAGAAGGUACUUGCAUUUGCCUCAGUUCAGGAAAUUGUGGAUGAUAUAAGCUGGCUUCUACCAGCAGCAGACACAGCAGUAAGGGUUUGGAUGAAGCUUUAUAUGGAAGGUGAUCUCAGAAAACACUGGCAGUGUAGUGAGGAAGUAAGUCAGGGCAAUGAAGUAAUCUAAUGAGGAUAUGUUAAUAGCAGGUUACAGCUAUUAGCAAUUAGGCAUCUGUCCUGCUAGAGAUCUUCAGGAGGGUGUACGUGUGCAUACAUCAGAGAUGUCCCUCAUGGGGGUAAAAUAAAACAUGGGAUAUUUAGCCUCCUACUUUGUCGUUGAUUAAAGGUUGCUCUUAGAAGUGUUAAUUCCUGAUACUUCCGGCAUGCUUCUCAUAGGGCUGAUGCUUGUUUAAUUCUUCUUUAUUUCUUAUUGGAUUCCUUUCUGAGCCACUGCCAACCACCUGUCACGACAGCAAUUGGAGAGGAAGCUGUUGAAUAAUGGACAUGAAAAAACUAUUUCAUAUUAAAAUACAGAACAUAUGUUACACAUGAGAACUGUUGGAUCUAAUAUGUGCUUUUCACAUCGUGGAAUGAGGAAUGAGAAGAGAUACGGAAGUACCUAUUCUGAUUAUCUGG
Long non-coding RNA from Homo sapiens (human), 1442 nucleotides. The record is from Ensembl. Lineage: Eukaryota; Metazoa; Chordata; Mammalia; Primates; Hominidae.